ACGCUGGCGGCGUGCCUAAUACAUGCAAGUCGAACGGUCUUUCUAUGGAAGCUUGCUUCCACUGAGAAGAUAGUGGCGGACGGGUGAGUAACACGUGGGUAACCUGCCCAUAAGAGGGGGAUAACAUCCGGAAACGGGUGCUAAUACCGCAUAGUUUUCUUGAUCGCAUGAUCGGGAAAGGAAAGACGGCCUUUGUGCUGUCGCUUAUGGAUGGACCCGCGGCGUAUUAGUUAGUUGGUGAGGUAAUGGCUCACCAAGACGAUGAUACGUAGCCGACCUGAGAGGGUGAUCGGCCACAUUGGGACUGAGACACGGCCCAAACUCCUACGGGAGGCAGCAGUAGGGAAUCUUCCGCAAUGGACGAAAGUCUGACGGAGCAACGCCGCGUGAGUGAAGAAAGGUUUUCGGAUCGUAAAACUCUGUUGUCAGAGAAGAACAAGUUGGAGAGUAACUGCUCCAGCCUUGACGGUAUCUGACCAGAAAGCCACGGCUAACUACGUGCCAGCCGCCGC
This 512-nucleotide ribosomal RNA is filed under the name uncultured bacterium. RNAcentral describes it as "bacterial SSU rRNA". It matches the Rfam family "Bacterial small subunit ribosomal RNA", at positions 33 to 518 of the family's 1533-position model. The record is from RNAcentral.